ACAACAAGGAACCUCCUUGCCAAAAGAUUUCUAAGAAUUUUGUGGAGAGUAAGCCAGUCACAGCAACGAUUGGGGAAAAUAUCACUCUGCAAUGCAUCACAAAGUUUAAAUUACAAGAGAGUGAUAUUGUGGAGUGGAGUAAAGGCAAUGAUGAAAUCUUCACUGUGACGGAGAAUAAACAACAAAUACAAAACAAAGCGUAUGAACAUCGACUCUGUCUUUCCUUUCCUGGAGAACUUGGUAGAAAUGUUGCCUCGAUCAACAUUUCACAAGUGAAGGAAACAGAUGACGGAAUUUACUGCUGCUGCAUUAGAUCAGCAGAGGUACAGUGCAUCAACCAGACUCUUGUUGUGAGGAACAAAUCUUUAACAACCCCAGGUCGCCAUCGCCAAGCAGGAGUAUCAGAUACUAUCUGUUCAACAUCCUCACCUCAGAAUAAUGAGACCACAACAUAUUGUUUUGCUGGUAUUGGUGUUGGUGUUGUUGUUGGUAUUCUUAUUGGAAUUCUUUCAACUUUACUAUAUUGGAAAUGUAAAAAAAAAAGAACCAGAAAGAACAGCGGCCCAGUUAACCCAGAACAGUCAUUACUGCAGGUGAAUACACAAAAUAAUCAAAGGCAGAGAAGGCCUUCCCCUCAGGAAAAUAAAGUUGUCGUAUAAAACAACACGACUGCUGCUUCUGCGGUUCUGAUUGACCUGAGCGGACCAGACGGCUGAUCAGUGCCGGCCCGAGCCUCUUGGGGGCUCUAAGCAGAAAUUUAUUUGGGGCCCCCCCUCCCACCACGCAGAAUCACCUAUGCUAGAAGAUCAUUGACACAAACGUCACGCUAUAAUGUAAUAGCGAAAAUUAGAAUCGAAUACACUGCGGUUAUGUUUCAAUACAAAAUAAAUAAAUGAUACUUAAAAUACUUCACUGUUUUAUUAAAUCUUCUGAAUACAAACUGUCACAAAACAUAUUAAAUUUCAUCAUCAUUCAUUCAUUUAUAUCAGUGGUCCCGUGUAAUUAACUCUUCUCCCUGGCUGUGUUCAGGUGGGGCUGAAUCGCUGCCAAUAAUUAAGUCAACUUUAUCUCCUGGACAGUUUUUGUAACUUGCCUUUUCCUUGCUCUCUUUUUUCAUUUUCUUUUCACUUUGCCACUUCACCUUUAUGCUUAUAUGAAGUGCUCAUGUUAGCUUAGUAGUUAAAAUGCUCCACGUAUUUUACAAACAGUUGCCAAGUGACCCAAGAUGCAGUUGGUGGACGUUUGGUGAUGAUGAGUUUUACCCAAAAUGCACUUGAAGAAAUUAUCGGCAAUCCACUUGAAAAUUUGCACCACGAAGUUAAAUAUAAGAGUUAAAAUAAAGCCAGUCAUGCAGAAAAACAUUUUAUUCAAUAUAUUACACCUAUUACAUCACUAAAAUCAGGCAGUCUUUUACAGUUUGUGGAAACCAUGACUGAGUCCUUACUGUGUAGCAGUUAUAAACUAUUCUCCACCACAGGGAAAUCUAAAAGUAGAUUUUUUUUAAAAUGUACUUAGACUCAGUGAGUUUUAGAUGAACUACAUUAUAGAAAAAGGACAUGGAAGGCAUAGUUAUUUUUGAAAAUGUUUUUUUUUAUGGUGUCUUGUUGGAUUCCAUAAAUUCAUUACCACAUUUAAAAAAUAAAGUCUUUGUUUUACAUGCUAUUUUAUUCAAAACUCAGUAAAUGAUGUUUUUCCUUGAGUAGACAUGUAAAAUAGAUUAAGUUAUUACUAGGACAUAUUUACAUUUAUUAUACUAUGUUUGCUUUAGCUCCAAAUUUACAAAGAGAAAUUGUUUUUCUAAAGCUUGUAGGGACUUUGAAAAACAAAAAAACCUCCAGCUGAAUAUGAAAGUUUUUCUGCCAGUUACUUUUUUUUUCAAGGAAGGCUUUGAUGUUAAUAAGCGAGAACAAGCACGGACUGUCAUUUCAUUUACUCUUUACGUUAUUUCUUCUAUUUCAUUACAUUUACAAUUAUGUUGUGUAUGACUUGGGAAUGUUAUGGAAUGUUGUUCUAGCUGAUCUGAUCCAUUAUUGUUUUAUACAAUAGAGGGUAAAAACUAGUAAAUAAAGUUUUCUUAACAACUUAUUUAUUAAU
Long non-coding RNA from Fundulus heteroclitus (mummichog), 2094 nucleotides. RefSeq lists it as uncharacterized. NCBI's taxonomy places the organism in Eukaryota, Metazoa, Chordata, Actinopteri, Cyprinodontiformes, Fundulidae. The transcript has 5 exons. The record is from RefSeq and is a predicted model, not a curated record.